Cyanistes caeruleus (blue tit) is the source of this 2940-nucleotide non-coding RNA. Lineage: Eukaryota; Metazoa; Chordata; Aves; Passeriformes; Paridae. The record is from RefSeq and is a predicted model, not a curated record.
AAGAAAUAAAUAAAUUCUGUCCCUUAGUUGUGCUUUUAUCCCAGUGUGGUAAAAUCCUGAUUUUUACCUGUGUGCAGGAAUUUGCUGGUGCAGCCCUUGCCCUGCCAGGCUCUUCUGUGCAACUCAAACUUGCUUGGGUUGACCAUGAAAAACAAGAAAAAGAAGAGUUAACUCCCACACCCUUUGCUGCUGGGGCCAUGCAGAAAACAAGAGAUCCUACAGGAUCCGUGCCAAUAUCCAGGAUAAAAGUGAAUUGUGUCGUUUUGGACAGCCCAGGAAAGCCUUUGGGGCUCUGCUGGAAUCUGCUCAGGGUGGUUGGGAGCAGGAAGCAGCAGCCGGGGCACAUCAGGAUUCACACAACAGGCACCCUCUUGUGGCUUUUUCCUGUCACAGGAUGAGGACAGGGAUGGAUCCUGCUCUGGAGCAGCCUGGCAACCCCCUCAGUUGCUUUAAGGCUGGUUCAUUCACCUUGAAAAGCCACUCCAAUGUGCAGAUGACCUCUCCUUGGGACAAUCUUUGAUUUCCCUGAUGGUCUCCAGGACACUGCAGGAUCUCUGGAGGACAUGAUUGUGCUCUCUGAAUAAUUCAUGAGAUUCUGGAGUGUUGGUCAGCAUUGCUGAGUACCUCUGCACACAACAUCUCAUUGUUAAUUAUCAUUGAACUUCUCCAGGAACAUCAGCCACAGACAGGAGAUAUUUAUUGGUAAGUAGAAAAAGGAAUAAAUCUCAUCUCUGCAAAGCUGUGCUCCUCAACUUGAAUAUUAAUUUAAGAAAAACUUCUCAUCAUUGGGAGAUGAUUUUAUCCUGUGGCAAUUCAGGGGCAAAGAACUGGAGUUUCUUUACCAAGACCUUGACCCCAGUGAAGAUUUUUUUAAUGUUGUUUCUUAUAAACCUUUUCUUGGGAGCUGAACCCAUCACUAGAGAGUCUUUUAGUUUUAAUUCUUGGGAAUUUUGCUUGUGUGCAUGUAAAGAUAUUCUGAAUCUACCUUAGGAAAAUGAGAAUUGUUUAAUGUGACCUGAUUUGUGUUUGCUUUCAGUGCCCCCACACAAGGGCUGCAGCAACAAGACCAUCUGCACUGCUCAUUUGCCUUUGACAAUCAGAUUCAGUGAGUCUGAGGAGUUGCACUCUCCAGAUUUUGCAUUUAGAGCUCAUACAAAACGUCAUCUUUGUGCAAAAGGCAUUUUCUCCAAACCCUCAGUGGUGUUUUUUGAUUUUCCCUGCAAUUCAUCCUUCAGUAACAUCCCAUUCAUGCAGUGCUUCAUCUCUGGGGCUGUCCCAAGAAACUCCAGAGCACAGACUGAGGUUUAAACAACAAUAAUCAUCCUAAAAAUGCCAAUUCUGGCAUUUCAUUAGGAACAGAUGAACAGCAGAGCACUGCACAAGGAGCUGCUCAGUCUACAUUUAACAGAAGGCAACACUUCAUUGUGAAAAUCCACCCUGCAGAUUGGCUGAGGAGCUGAUCAAGGCCAACAGUGCUGCAAGUCAACCUUGAAUGAUAAGAUGUUAUAUAAAGUAUGGAAGGGUCUGCCUUUGAGAUUGAAAAGGAAGCAUUUUCCUACACACCUUGAAGACUACUGAAUAAUUGGGCUGUUGCAUUGUCCUGUGUGUGAAAGGAUUUGGAGGGAGUAAUUCCCAAAACUUCCAAGAACCAGGAUGCUCCAGGCCUCUCAUGAAAUAAAACCCCUUUUUCUGUCUGCUCCUAGGAAGGAAUCAGUGGGGGCCACACUGAAGUGACCAUAAAUAUGACAGUGGAGAUGACUGUGUGACAACUCUGCUCCUGAACACCCCCAAAAAUCUGCAUUUGAGGAAGGUGCCAGUGGAGGUGAGGUUGGGGAACAGCCCCACAGCUCUCAGUUGAGAGGAAACCCAGCACAGCCACCAAGUGAUUUACUACCUAAACAAACCUUGCAAUGAGCUCCAGGGAAGGGAAGGAGCAUUCCACUUGUUAGGAGGAGAGCCUAAAUACUGGAUUUAUCUUCUUUAAGACUCCCAAGCUUUUAUUGGGCUAUUUGUACCUAAUUUGUUUUAUGGGAGCAGUCCCAGGCCGAGUUGAAUUUCCAGUCUGUUUUUAUUCAGCUCUAAGGAGAAUUCCUUCUUCCUUGGCAGCCUCAUCCCUGCUGGGCACUGUGGCCAACCAGCAGCACCAUUAACUGCUGCAGUCUGGAACUGCAGAAUUGGGCAGAAAUUACUAUUUUCCCUUUUUUCCUGCCUCUGAAUGAUACUCUGAGCAGCUGCUCUUCAUUCUUUCUACACUGAGGCCAGAGCUGCUCUUCCUCCUCAUUCAGCUUCUCAAGGCAAGAGAUCAUUUGCAUAUGCCUGCACAUAAUGUCUCAUUUUCCCAGAAUGAGCAAAAAAUACAUAUCUUAACAGCACCCUGGUGAGUUACAGAGUAUUCACAGGGUAAUCCAUAAUUUAUCUGUCUUCUCCAUCAAAAUAGGCAAAAUUUUCAGAGAUUUGGCACUUGGAUGAAAGUGAGGGCUUCCAAGAGAGGGUUGCUGGCUUCACCACAAAAUCUACUUUGACCUAUUCCUACUUGCAACCCAUCUGAUUUACCAAUAAUUAUACAAAACUAGGCUUGCUCUUGUCACUCUCCUAAAGCCUUUGGAUCCACGUGAAAAGUCUUUCCCUCCCUUAGGAUAAUUUUAGCUUUGUUCAAAUUUCCAUAUUUCAGUAAAAGAUGGAGCACCCUUUAAGGCUCUAAUUUUGAUGUGGUGUGUAUUAAAAAACUUGUGUUUUCUGAAGGGGCAAACUGGGUUCUGGCAUCCUUUCCUCAGCAGGGAAAGCAGAUCUUUAAAAUACAUAAUCCAGCUCUGUUCCAAGUAAAGCUUUCACACAGAUGAAAACAUGUUCAGGGCAUUUAACUUGAUUAGGGGAAAUUUACUAUUCCAAUUCCUUUUUUGUCACCAUCCUCCCAUUAAAAUUUAUGAGGGCUGAUUAGUA